ACUAGAAACGCGCGGGCCUUAAAAGAUGAGACCGGGAACGAGGCUUCCUGCGGGGUAAUCGGUUAAUGCGGCACCGCGCGCUGUCCCGCACAAUGACCGAGAAAUUAGCGUCCCCACCAAGCGUCAUGCCCACUGCGCACAGCCCAUGCCUAAGGGACCCCUUCCCGCCAGUUGCGUGGGUGUCAAAAACAUCAGAACAGAAAUACUGAAUUUAUCAGUCUAUGAACAUUUUACUGGAUUGCAUCUCAUCAGUGUAACUGAAGCCUGCAUUAAGGGACUAGCCUAACUCCUCUGGCAUCAAAACACAAGAUUACAGUAGCAGCACAAAUUAUAAAUAUUUUCCUCUGGAAAACUGGCCUUGAAAAAAGCACAUAAGAUCAAGAGGAAAUCAGUUCUGCUGGCUGUUCUGACUGAAUCUUGACAUGUCUUGUGCUGUCUUUCUGUCUGCACUUAGACCUAUAGCAGAAUAAUUUGGAAAGGUGAGAUUACAAUAUCUUGACAAUACCUGACUUCUUAUUAGUAAAUGCCAUCGUUGAUCUGUUACUGUAUUUUGAAAUGUAUCUUUGAUUUUUUUUUUUUUUUUAAUCCAAUCUCUCUUCUUUUAUUAGGCACUGUUUCACAGUAUUUGUUUCACUAUUGUGUAUAUACUGGCCCUAAGGAUAUUUGUAGGAUAGGCAGUCUGGGUGUUACCUGUGCUAGUUUUGAUAUUUGAAAAAGCUGUAAGUAUAUCCAUGCACUUAAUUUUUAGUUUAUUGCAGAUAGCCAAAACUAAUUAAUUUGAAAAGUAAAAUAAAAAAGAGGCAAAAAGUAAGGCAGGUAAGCUUUUAGCUAUUGGCAAAGCAAGGUUAGUUUUUACAUCACCUUUAAUUUCUUCCUUUUAGUCUUUUCAAUAUGGAUAAUUUUGUUAAUGUUUGAGGAAUUUUGAGGAUAUUGGCAAAGGUGCAAUAUCUAGAUUUACAAUUAAUAGUAAACAGUCUUACUACUUUUUUGUUUAGGCUUUAAUUAUUCCACCCCCCUAAUUUGCAAUAUCUAAUAAAUAGUCUUACAGUUGUAACUGUAAAUAUUUUCACCUUAGUAAACCUAAUACAACUCUUCUGAUUUGUUUUUAUAAAUUUUACUUUGGGAGGGAUUUUUUUAGGGAAUAAUUAUAUCUCUGAAAGGAAAUUCCAGUCUCGUUUUAUAAAUCUGAUCUCAAAGACAAACUCUGAUCUCAAGCUAUCUUCUGGAAAACUGUGAUGCAAAGUCCUUUUUCUCCAUGGAGACUAUGGGCCUGCAGGACAGGAGCAGACCCUGAGAAGCUGUAGUGCACUCCACUUUUUCUGUGCAGCAAAGGUAUAUGGAGACUGUCCUUGACAUGACUGUAUUUAACUGGUUCUUCAAAACUUCUAAUAAAAGAGAUUCUGUAACCUU
This is a long non-coding RNA of Tyto alba (common barn owl), 1410 nucleotides long. RefSeq lists it as uncharacterized. Lineage: Eukaryota; Metazoa; Chordata; Aves; Strigiformes; Tytonidae. The transcript is spliced from 3 exons. The record is from RefSeq and is a predicted model, not a curated record.